GUUGGAGGAUAGUAGUAUAACACCCCAAUAGUUUCAUAUCGGAUGAGAUACUGAUUCUGAUUAGUUUAUAUGAGAUCUACACGCUAGUAAUAAUAACUGAGCUUAAACAUUUUGGGCCGAUUGUUUAGGCCUACGAGUUAUUAUUGCUGGCAAGUCAGGUCGUUACAACUAGCCUUUUAUUUUAUUUUUUUUUAUACAUUGACAUAUCAUGUCUUACAAACAGCCUCUAAGCUGGUGAUUAUCUUUAAAUUUAUAUUUAAUUAUUCGUUUUUGUAUGCUCUUACACUAAAAAAAAAAUCUUACUCUC
This 307-nucleotide long non-coding RNA is filed under the name Ananas comosus (pineapple). RNAcentral describes it as "long non-coding RNA (ACOM_LNC028775)". Lineage: Eukaryota; Viridiplantae; Streptophyta; Magnoliopsida; Poales; Bromeliaceae. The record is from RNAcentral.